RNAcentral lists this ribosomal RNA (465 nucleotides) under uncultured bacterium. RNAcentral's name for it is "bacterial SSU rRNA". It matches the Rfam family "Bacterial small subunit ribosomal RNA", at positions 339 to 796 of the family's 1533-position model. The record is from RNAcentral.
CUACGGGAGGCAGCAGUGGGGAAUAUUGGACAAUGGGGGCAACCCUGAUCCAGCGAUGCCGCGUGGGUGAAGAAGGCCUUCGGGUUGUAAAGCCCUUUAGGUUGGGAAGAAGGUGUUUAGGGGAUAAUCCUAGGCAUUUGACGGUACCAACAGAAUAAGCACCGGCAAACUCUGUGCCAGCAGCCGCGGUAAUACAGAGGGUGCGAGCGUUAAUCGGAAUUACUGGACGUAAAGGGCGCGUAGGCGGUGAGAUAUGUGUGAUGUGAAAGCCCUGGGCUUAACCUGGGAAGUGCAUCGCAAACGGUCUGACUGGAGUAUAUGAGGGGGUGGCGGAAUUUCCGGUGUAGCGGUGAAAUGCGUAGAGAUCGGAAGGAACGUCAAUGGCGAAGGCAGCCACCUGGCAUAAUACUGACGCUGAGGCGCGAAAGCGUGGGGAGCGAACAGGAUUAGAUACCCGGGUAGUCC